GACAGAGGGUGCAAACGUUGUUCGGAAUUACUGGGCGUAAAGCGCGUGUAGGCUGCUCGGAAAGUCGGAUGUGAAAGCCCUGGGCUUAACCUAGGAAGUGCAUUCGAAACUUCCGAGCUGGAGUGCUGGAGAGGAAGGCGGAAUUCUCGGUGUAGAGGUGAAAUUCGUAGAUAUCGAGAGGAACACCGGUGGCGAAGGCGGCCUUCUGGACAGUGACUGACGCUGAGACGCGAAAGCGUGGGGGGCAAACAGG
This 253-nucleotide ribosomal RNA is filed under the name uncultured bacterium. Its description in RNAcentral is "partial 16S ribosomal RNA". It matches the Rfam family "Bacterial small subunit ribosomal RNA", at positions 524 to 776 of the family's 1533-position model. The record is from RNAcentral.